Molecule: non-coding RNA, 46 nt
Filed under: Echinostoma caproni
Lineage: Eukaryota; Metazoa; Platyhelminthes; Trematoda; Plagiorchiida; Echinostomatidae
Source: RNAcentral
ACACUGCUGAUGAGUCCCAAAACAGGACGAAACAACUGUCCAGUGC